CCUCCCCGCCCGCCAGGGCCCGCGCAGCCAAUCGGCGCCUCCGCGGCGCUGCACGUGACCUUUGUUGACUUACGUCAGUCAUAGCGCUCUUCCACCGCUGCGCUUCGGUUUGGUUGGCGCUCAGCGCCCGCCUCUCUCAGCGGCCUCACGCCAUUGGUCGGCGUCACGGGAGGAGGCGGGCUUUGUGCCCUUCGCGGCUUAGGAGAGGGCGAGGAGCCCGUCAAUCAGAGGAGCUUUUCGACGAUCAGUACCAGCAAGUUUGCUGAGCGCCUUUAAAAACCGGAGGGCGAGAAGGUGGGGGGAAGUUUUCGGGAGCGGCGCGGGCCGUGGGGGCGGGAGGAGGAGGAGGAGUAUGAUGCGCUGCGUUCACGGGCGGCGUUGCGUAACGAGAGCUCUGGGCUAGGGGCGUAGACGGCGCUGAGGAAGCGGGACCUCGCGGACGAGCCGGGCAGUGCCGUGCCCGCUCGGCCACGGGGCGUGGCUGCCUUGGCACCACCGGAUCAUAAUGGUUUCCUCGCGCGGGGAGAAGGAAGGAAGCCCACCCGCCGCCCGAGGGGCGGUUGGGCUGUAGGUAAUGCCUGCGCUGAAGGCCGGGAUAGGAAUGUCCUCCGUGCCUGGAUCCUGCUUCUCGUUACCCUCGCGUCUCGGCGGUUAGCUCUAUCCGCCGUAGGAAAGCCGAGGGGAAGGCACGGCGGCGCCAGCGCCCGUUCAGGGACUUUCCCCUCACGGGGGCGGAGCCACCGUUGGCCCGCCUGCGCCAACGGACGAGCGCGUGGCGGGGCGCGAGGAGAGGGGCGGGGCGGCCCUGCCUCGCACGCGCCCCUCCCCGCGGCUCACUGACAGGUGGAGCGAUGCCCCGUCUGUCGUCACGUGACGGGGGGGGGGUGGAAAGGAGAUAUCGCCUCGCGAGAGCGCUGUGACGAAGUUAUCGCGGCCCCGCAGGCGUGAGGGAGGGGAGGGGGCGCGGCUGCCGGCUGCCAGCGGAGGGCUGGUGGGGCAAUCUCAUAGGGGAGCGCGAAGGAGGUUUACGGAGCGUCUGGUGGGAAGUUGUUUGGCUUUAGAACAUGGGUCCUUCUCUUCUGAGAAAAAAAUGCAGGAAAAUAAAUACUUGACAGAAAUCAUCAAAGAAAAAGAUAUACCUGCGGACAACAGCGUGUUCAAAUACAUUCAAGAAGCAUAAGGAACCUCACACUGAAGGACGUAAUGCAAACAGAAGAGGAAAGAAGCACUCAGAAACAUGUUCAACACAGUAGAGGCUCCUGGGUUAUACACCAAAUGUUUUUUCUUCUGUUUGCUUUCCUUGGAAUAAUUUUUGAAAGCACAGUUCUGCUGUGCCUGGAAAAACUGCAGUGUCUGUGGGCAGAGGUGUUUUCCUGGCACAACGCAAUGACUGGUACGUAGAGUUCUCAUAGCUGUCGGGCUUGCAUCUCCCAGUUUUGCUUCACUGACAUUUUAUUUUUCUUUGUGUUUAAAAAGUAACCUGUUUCUGUAUAGAUAUGUAUGAGCAUCAUGUGUAAUGAUGCUAGUAAUAAUUUCUGAAGUGCUCAGAGGACUAACACCCAAGUUUUGUCAACUUGUAUGUUACUGUUAGGUGCUAUCAGUCUGAGGCAACAGUGUGCCUGCUUUUAAUCUGUGUUCCAUACUGAUUUAUGAAUAAGAAUUAAGUAAUAAUUCUGACUUCUUGAAAAUAAAAUACGUUUGUGUGUGCAUCUUAUAACACGAAAAAUUAGUAAAUUUGUUACUCUUAAGUAUUGCUUCUGCUGGGAGUGAUGAUGAUAAAAGCCUUGGUUUUGCAAGAAUAAGCAAGCCCAGGCCACACAGGAAGGUCAAAAACUGAAAAGAUUAUUCAGCACUUAGAGAGAGGUGCUUGUAACACAGGCAGUCUCAGCUUUCAAGUUCUUUUUUCUACCUCUGUCUCAUUAGUCAACCAAGUCUCACUGGAACUUAGCUUUCCCUUGAUGGUUAAUCAAGGGAAUUACUGCCAGCUCUAACGCUCCAUUACUCUGCUUCUACCAGAAUCUUUUUUCAUUGCUUUUCCUGAUGCGUGAGAUGUUUUCCCUUUUCAGAUAAGCUGAGUUCUUAGAUUCAAAUGAUAACAUUUACUCUGAGCUUCAUGUGUCCCAAGUCACUUGUUAGAAACUUCCAAAUAAUAUGUGUAAGAUGUGAUCUUGGAGUGUUACACCUUACCACACCUACAUCAAGCUUUUAUUCUGUUGUCAUUUUUGUGGAAAGACAACCUACCAAAUUAUUGUGGAACUUCCUUGUUUUAUUGCUUUCACUUAUCUUCAGGGAAGCUAACAAAUGAAAACCUGUUAUCAUGUUCAUCCUCUUUAUACAUUGUUCUGUAUUUCUUCCUUUUCUGAGGCAAAACAGAAACAAAGGAAAGAGAAGACUGUUGGUAAAAGGAGGAAAGGGUAGGAGACAAGCAAAACCAGGGUGAAAAUUUUAAGUUUUGACAUUUUUUCAUAGAAGCUUUUCACUUGAAAAAAACGUCCUAUUUUAAGAGUUUACAGUUAUUCUGUAUGAAAUAACAAUAGCUUUGUCUUUUAAAAAAAAAAAUAUCUAUCAUUUCUAAUGGAAAUUGGCAUAGCAACACCAAGGUCAAUUGAGGACAAGUUAGGCAAACUUUAUCCAUUGCGUCUUGAACUCAUAUUUAAUAUAUUUUAAAAUACUUCAUCUGAGUUGACAAGAUAUGCAUAUGGUAUCUGAGUUACCAGACUGAGGAGUUGUAGCCUUUCGCCUUCCUCUCUGUCUCCUGACUGUGGUGCUUCACUCACAAUGUUACAGCAUCAGACUUAAUGACUAAAAAAGACUGAUAAUCUAAAGCAUCCAGCAUGUUAAAAUGAUCAGUACAAAUUAAAAUCAUAAGUAAUUUGAGCACAUUUCAGCUACAAAAUGACAUUUUUCCAUUAAAUCAUAACCAUUUUUUUAAAUAAGUAGUUUAAGCCUUUUGAAAUAUAUUAUGGAUGUAGUCAUGAUUUAUUUGCAGACAGUUAUUUUUGUAUGUACUGAAGAAAACCUGACAAGUUUCAAUCUCGCAUUUCGUAAACUGGAUUUUUGUGUAUACAAAGCACAUGUCAGCAAUUUGUAUCAAAACAACGUGACAGUUGGCUUCUCCAUGUGGCAACUUGUGAAGAAAAAUAUUUGGGGGACUGAACAUUUGUGACAUGUUAAAAUGUAAUGCAGUGUACAGGAAUCAGUUAUUUAGAAGUAUCUUGUAUCCAUGUAACAAAAAUAAAGCAAUAAAAUGUGCUUGCAUUGCUAUA
This is a long non-coding RNA of Numida meleagris (helmeted guineafowl), 3266 nucleotides long. RefSeq lists it as uncharacterized. NCBI's taxonomy places the organism in Eukaryota, Metazoa, Chordata, Aves, Galliformes, Numididae. The record is from RefSeq and is a predicted model, not a curated record. The transcript is spliced from 2 exons.